Molecule: ribosomal RNA, 159 nt
Filed under: uncultured methanogenic archaeon
Lineage: Archaea; Methanobacteriati; Methanobacteriota
Description: partial 16S ribosomal RNA
Rfam family: Archaeal small subunit ribosomal RNA
Source: RNAcentral
ACGGGGCGCAGCAGUCGCGAAAACUUCACACUGGGGGCAACCCCGAAGAGGGUAAUUCCUGGUGCUAGGACAUUUGUUCUAGCGACGCCCUCUUUUAGAUAACGUAGAGGAAUAAGGACAGGGUCAGACGGGUGCCAGCCGCCACGGUAAUACACGCAG